UACGUAGGGGGCAAGCGUUGUCCGGAUUUAUUGGGCGUAAAGAGCGUGUAGGCGGCCUGGUAGGUCAGCUGUGAAAACUCGAGGCUCAACCUCGAGACGCCGGUUGAAACCAUCAGGCUAGAGUCCGGAAGAGGAGAGUGGAAUUCCUGGUGUAGCGGUGAAAUGCGCAGAUAUCAGGAAGAACACCCGUGGCGAAGGCGGCUCUCUGGGACGGUACUGACGCUGAGACGCGAAAGCGUGGGGAGCGAACAGG
RNAcentral lists this ribosomal RNA (253 nucleotides) under uncultured bacterium. Its description in RNAcentral is "partial 16S ribosomal RNA". It matches the Rfam family "Bacterial small subunit ribosomal RNA", at positions 524 to 776 of the family's 1533-position model. The record is from RNAcentral.